This 508-nucleotide ribosomal RNA is filed under the name uncultured bacterium. RNAcentral describes it as "bacterial SSU rRNA". It matches the Rfam family "Bacterial small subunit ribosomal RNA", at positions 30 to 523 of the family's 1533-position model. The record is from RNAcentral.
AUUGAACGCUGGCGGCAUGCCUUACACAUGCAAGUCGAACGGCAGCGCGGGGCAACCUGGCGGCGAGUGGCGAACGGGUGAGUAAAAUAUCGGAACAUACCCUAGAGUGGGGGAUAACGUAGCGAAAGUUACGCUAAUACCGCAUACGCACUAAGGUGGAAAGUGGGGGAUCUUCGGACCUCAUGCUCAUGGAGUGGCCGAUAUCUGAUUAGCUAGUUGGUGAGGUAAAGGCUCACCAAGGCGACGAUCAGUAGCUGGUUUGAGAGAACGACCAGCCACACUGGAACUGAGACACGGUCCAGACUCCUACGGGAGGCAGCAGUGGGGAAUUUUGGACAAUGGGGGGCAACCCUGAUCCAGCAAUGCCGCGUGUGUGAAGAAGGCCUUCGGGUUGUAAGACGACUUUUAGUCUAGGAACGAACGGUACUGGGCGUAAUAUCCUGGGCGUAAUGACGGUACCUCGAAGAAUAAGACACCGGCGUAACUACGUAGCCAGCAGCCGCGGUAU